Non-coding RNA from Pseudoliparis swirei, 73 nucleotides. The record is from the annotation of a RefSeq genome assembly. NCBI's taxonomy places the organism in Eukaryota, Metazoa, Chordata, Actinopteri, Perciformes, Liparidae.
AAGACGCUAGUAAAACAGCACAUUACACAGCCUUGUCGAGACUGAGUUGCGAGUUAAAGUCCCGCGUGUCUUU